GACGAACGCUGGCGGCGUGCUUAACACAUGCAAGUCGAACGGAAAGGCCCUUCGGGGUACUCGAGUGGCGAACGGGUGAGUAACACGUGGGUGAUCUGCCCUGCACUUUGGGAUAAGCCUGGGAAACUGGGUCUAAUACCGAAUAGGAUCAUCGGCUUCAUGGUCGGUGGUGGAAAGCCUUUGCGGUGUGGGAUGGGCCCGCGGCCUAUCAGCUUGUUGGUGGGGUAAUGGCCUACCAAGGCGACGACGGGUAGCCGGCCUGAGAGGGUGACCGGCCACACUGGGACUGAGAUACGGCCCAGACUCCUACGGGAGGCAGCAGUGGGGAAUAUUGCACAAUGGGCGCAAGCCUGAUGCAGCGACGCCGCGUGAGGGAUGACGGCCUUCGGGUUGUAAACCUCUUUCAGCAGGGACGAAGCGCAAGUGACGGUACCUGUAGAAGAAGGACCGGCCAACUACGUGCCAGCCGCCGCCGUAA
RNAcentral lists this ribosomal RNA (478 nucleotides) under uncultured bacterium. RNAcentral's name for it is "partial 16S ribosomal RNA". It matches the Rfam family "Bacterial small subunit ribosomal RNA", at positions 28 to 523 of the family's 1533-position model. The record is from RNAcentral.